UUCAAUAGUUAAGAUAAAUGAUCCAAAUUACAAUACAAUGUACUAAGCUAACUAGCUAUAAAUGAGUCAGUUUAAUGAGCUAGUUCAUGACUUGUUCAAUGAGCCCACUUACAAGCCUGUUCAACGAGCCAACUCAUAAGUAUGUUCAACAAGCUUUCUCAUGAGCCUAUAAAUGAGUCAGCUCAUGAGCUUUAGUGAGUAGAAUAUUAAUAAUCUUGAGCUUGGUUCAUUUAUAAAACAAGCCUAAAAAUUAGGCUUCAACACAACUCAUCAAGAAAACUAGUUAGGCCAAGUCAAGCUUUUAUUGAGUUGAGCCUCAAGUAGCUUACAAGCGGUUUGGCUUAUUUACAUCCCUAGGUGCUGAAGAAGAAAGAGUUCAAUUUCAAAUAUAUAAAUGUCUUUAAGGAGAUAUAUGAGGGGCGAUCACAAGUGUAAGAACAGUGGGAGGGGAUACGAAUUGGUUCGCCAUAACAAAGGGUUAAAAUCAAGGAUUGACUUUGAGUCCAUACCUAUUUACCUUAUUUAUAGGAUGAGAUAAUCAGCCAUAUUCAAGAUGUUGUCCUAUUGUGUGUGUUAUUUGCAGAUGAAGUUGUCUUAGUGGAUGAAAUUAGCAGAGUUAAACCAACAAUUAGAGUUGUGGAGGACUUUUGAGAGCAAGAGUUUUAGUCUACACAUAAGUAAGACUGAAUAUAUGCAUUGUGAGUUUAGCUCUCAUAGAAGG
RNAcentral lists this unclassified non-coding RNA (721 nucleotides) under Hevea brasiliensis (rubber tree). Lineage: Eukaryota; Viridiplantae; Streptophyta; Magnoliopsida; Malpighiales; Euphorbiaceae. The record is from RNAcentral.